RNAcentral lists this RNase P RNA (354 nucleotides) under Acidimicrobiia bacterium. Its description in RNAcentral is "RNase P RNA component class A". It matches the Rfam family "Bacterial RNase P class A". From Rfam's summary of the family: Ribonuclease P (RNase P) is a ubiquitous endoribonuclease, found in archaea, bacteria and eukarya as well as chloroplasts and mitochondria. Lineage: Bacteria; Bacillati; Actinomycetota; Acidimicrobiia. RNAcentral also lists the same sequence under 1 other name. The record is from RNAcentral.
UGAGUCGGCCGGGUGGCCGCGGCCCGGGCUCGCCCGGGCUGAGGAAGGUCGGGGCUCCGCAGGGCAGGAUGCUGGCUAACGGCCAGUCGAGGCGACUCGCAGGAAAGUGCCACAGAGAACAGACCGCCGAUGGCCCCUCGGGGCACAGGUGAGGGUGAAACGGUGCGGUAAGAGCGCACCAGCACCCCGGGUGACCGGGGUGGCUCGGCAAACCCCAUCCGGAGCAAGGCCAAGCAGGAAGAGAGCGGCCCGCUCGCAGACACUUCCGGGUUGGCUGCACAGAUGGAUGGCCACACAGGAGGACCCCGGCAACGGACCUCUGGACAGAACCCCGCCUACAGGCCGACUCACCAC